Molecule: long non-coding RNA, 200 nt
Filed under: Capsella rubella
Lineage: Eukaryota; Viridiplantae; Streptophyta; Magnoliopsida; Brassicales; Brassicaceae
Description: long non-coding RNA (CRUB_LNC000766)
Source: RNAcentral
AAAUGUGCUCACAUGUGUCAUUGACCACCAUCGCAACCUAUUUUUUAAUUUCCCUUUAUUAAUUUUUUUUUUUUGAAAUCUCUCAAGUCCAUCUGAAUCAACAUGAAUUAUAUUUGUUACAAAAGCUAGCUAACAAAAUUUUCCUAAGAUAAGAAGUUUAGCUUGUUCAUUAUUAUUAGUUUUAUAGACUGGAAUGUCUU